CGACUUUCUGUGUCCAGACGUCUGAGGAUCACAGAGCAACAUGUAGCACUUAAGUCAUUUCACAGAUCAAAGAGGAAUUCAGGAGAACAACAACCAUUCCAGUGGAUCAAACCAGGCAAAAACUUGACAAAUACACACGAAAGCUGAUGAAAGCCAGGGGAGGAGUUUUGGGGCCCAAGACGAGUUUGCUCCUGGACCGACUGAGUCAGAAACAGAGCAUUGAGGUGAGAAGAGAAGCCAUUAUCUCCAGCCUUAUACUGUACCAUGGGAAGAAGGAAUAUGACUUUUUUAGGACUGCUUGUUUACGAUGGCUAAAGCGAUGGCAGUGGUCAGAGGCCACUCUUCAAUAAACAACUGAAAAGAGAAAGAAGUUUGGUUAUUGGAGCGUCGUUGUCUGGCUGUCUAGCCGGCUGAAAAGUUGGGAAAACUCAGGGCGAGGACAGCACAGUGAUGUCAGUAACUCUGUUUUCAAAAUCUGACAGCUAUGAGAUUGUCCCA
Molecule: long non-coding RNA, 498 nt
Organism: Cyprinodon tularosa
Lineage: Eukaryota; Metazoa; Chordata; Actinopteri; Cyprinodontiformes; Cyprinodontidae
Exons: 4
Source: RefSeq, a predicted model, not a curated record